This 500-nucleotide long non-coding RNA is filed under the name Anser brachyrhynchus (Pink-footed goose). RNAcentral describes it as "lncRNA (ENSABRG00000002292.1)". The record is from RNAcentral. Lineage: Eukaryota; Metazoa; Chordata; Aves; Anseriformes; Anatidae.
CUUUGUAUCUUGUAUCCAGGUCAGAUUCCCAGGUUUAGCGCUGCCCAACCCUCACCUGGAUCCUGUUUGGACUUCAGGUCCAGAGUCCAGGUCUAAUACCACACUGCAGGCAAUGUGAAAUAUAAACUGUGCAAACAAACUCAUAAAAAGCAAGUCUUCCAACCAACACAUUCAUCAGAGGAAGAAUCAUAACUGCCCAACAAAAGUUUAAUCUCUUCAUGCCUGUGAGCUGAAGGGCAUAAUCCUGGACCCACUGAAGAGGCAGCAACCAGCAAGUGAUGCCCAUGAGACACCCCACAGGGUGUGCCAAGACUGUGCAUCUCUCAACAUUUCCGUAUGUACGGAGGAUGGAAGAAGUCAGAUGCUACCUUAAAACAGGUGGGAUCUCUGCACCUACAGAGAAGUGAGGGAAUGAAGUGCAUCGAUUGCUUGCGAUUAUUAGCUAGAGUGGGAUAAGCCUUCUCCUUAUUAUGCAGAUUAGUGAAGCUCUCAGUUCCAAC